CCUAGAGUUGUAGGCUUUGCCUGCUAUCUCUUACCCAUGUCUUUUGAGUACCUUACGUUUCCUCGGCGGGUCCGCCCGCCGACUGGACAACCUUAAACCAUUUGCAGUUGCAAUCAGCGUCUGAAAAAAACAUAAUAGUUA
This 141-nucleotide unclassified non-coding RNA is filed under the name uncultured Ascomycota. RNAcentral's name for it is "sequence contains ITS1". Lineage: Eukaryota; Fungi; Ascomycota. The record is from RNAcentral.